GGGGAAUUUUGGACAAUGGGCGCAAGCCUGAUCCAGCCAUGCCGCGUGUCUGAAGAAGGCCUUCGGGUUGUAAAGGACUUUUGUCAGGGAAGAAAAGGCUGUUGCUAAUACCGACAGCUGAUGACGGUACCUGAAGAAUAAGCACCGGCUAACUACGUGCCAGCAGCCGCGGUAAUACGUAGGGUGCGAGCGUUAAUCGGAAUUACUGGGCGUAAAGCGAGCGCAGACGGUUACUUAAGCAGGAUGUGGAAUCCCCGGGCUCAACCUGGGAACUGCGUUCUGAACUGGGUGACUAGAGUGUGUCAGAGGGAGGUAGAAUUCCACGUGUAGCAGUGAAAUGCGUAGAGAUGUGGAGGAAUACCGAUGGCGAAGGCAGCCUCCUGGGAUAACACUGACGUUCAUGCUCGAAAGCGUGGGUAGCAAACAGGAUUAGAUGCCCUGGUAGUCCACGCCCUAAACGAUGUCAAUUAGCUGUUGGGCAACUUGAUUGCUUAGUAGCGUAGCUAACGCGUGAAAUUGACCGCCUGGGGAGUACGGUCGCAAGAUUA
Molecule: ribosomal RNA, 548 nt
Filed under: uncultured bacterium
Lineage: Bacteria
Description: bacterial SSU rRNA
Rfam family: Bacterial small subunit ribosomal RNA
Source: RNAcentral